Molecule: long non-coding RNA, 448 nt
Organism: Mastomys coucha (southern multimammate mouse)
Lineage: Eukaryota; Metazoa; Chordata; Mammalia; Rodentia; Muridae
Exons: 3
Source: RefSeq, a predicted model, not a curated record
CAAGAAUGUAGCCAGCUAUCUAACAACAGGAGAGCAUCAGGCUUGUUUUCACUCUCAACAAAAACUAAAGUCAGUGACAAGCCAACUGGCAUUCUGGGUACCAGGGAAUGUUAUAAUCUAACUCCCAGCAUAGAAACACAAGAUCUCCUCAUCAGAGCCUGCAUCUAGUUACCAACAUGGCCAGAUGCUGCUAUCAUCACACAGCCUGCAGGCUAGGGACUGCCUGCAGACAUGUUUCCAUGAAGCUCAAUGCACGAACACUGGCUAUGUUCAUAUCAAGAAGUUCCUAAACAAACACAAGUUUUACAAAGCUGAUGUCCAAAAGUACUCCAUCAUCAGUAAGGUACUUUAAUUACCCUCCACUAAAAGGAAAAAAAAUGUAACUUCCUAAUUUUGCAAAUUGUCUUCAGAAAUGUUCUGGUCAAUAAUUAAGCAAACACAGUAACAA